UACGUAGGGUGCGAGCGUUGUCCGGAAUUAUUGGGCGUAAAGAGCUUGUAGGCGGUUUGUCGCGUCUGCCGUGAAAAUUCGAGGCUCAACCUCGAACUUGCGGUGGGUACGGGCAGACUAGAGUGUGGUAGGGGAGACUGGAAUUCCUGGUGUAGCGGUGGAAUGCGCAGAUAUCAGGAGGAACACCGGUGGCGAAGGCGGGUCUCUGGGCCGAUACUGACGCUGAGGAGCGAAAGCGUGGGGAGCGAACAGG
RNAcentral lists this ribosomal RNA (253 nucleotides) under uncultured bacterium. RNAcentral describes it as "partial 16S ribosomal RNA". It matches the Rfam family "Bacterial small subunit ribosomal RNA", at positions 524 to 776 of the family's 1533-position model. The record is from RNAcentral.